Molecule: ribosomal RNA, 440 nt
Filed under: uncultured Alphaproteobacteria bacterium
Lineage: Bacteria; Pseudomonadati; Pseudomonadota; Alphaproteobacteria
Description: bacterial SSU rRNA
Rfam family: Bacterial small subunit ribosomal RNA
Source: RNAcentral
UACACCUNCAAGUCGAGCGUGAAGCAUCCUUCGGGAUGUGGAAAGCGGCGGACGGGUGAGUAACGCGUGGGAACCUACCUUUCGGUUCGGAAUAACUCGGGGAAACUCGGGCUAAUACCGGAUACGCCCCUCACGGGGGAAAGAUUUAUUGCCGAAAGAUGGGCCCGCGUUGGAUUAGGUAGUUGGUGGGGUAAAAGCCUACCAAGCCGACGAUCCAUAGCUGUUCUGAGAGGAAGAUCAGCCACACUGGGACUGAGACACGGCCCAGACUCCUACGGGAGGCAGCAGUGGGGAAUCUUGGACAAUGGGGGAAACCCUGAUCCAGCCAUGCCGCGUGAAUGAAGAAGGCCUUAGGGUUGUAAAGUUCUUUCAGUGGGGAAGAUAAUGACGGUACCCACAGAAGAAGCCCCGGCUAAUUUCGUGCCAGCAGCCGCGGUAAU